RNAcentral lists this long non-coding RNA (1309 nucleotides) under Gallus gallus (chicken). Lineage: Eukaryota; Metazoa; Chordata; Aves; Galliformes; Phasianidae. The record is from RNAcentral.
GUAAUAAUUUAAAUCAGUAAUUUAAAUCGCCAAGAGCUGCACAGGCAGCCAUCAGCAGUGGGGUGAGAGGGUAACUCAUCUACUGCAUUAUGAUGCCUAUGGAUUUUGUUAUCUGGGUGUGAUACUUCCAGCUCUGGACUGAGAUACAAUACAUGCUUGUUUAUCAUAUGACUUAUCUUGCAAAAUAUUGCAUAAAUUCUCUGUUUUGACAAACACCUUGUAGCCAAGAAAGAUGUGCUCAGUGUGUACAAUUGGUUUGCUUUUCUAUUUACAUGCAAAGUAAGUACAUGAUUUCUGUAUUUUGACUUUAUUUCCCUUAAAAUGUAAGUUGAUGAUUAUAUCAGAUACUUAUCCUGAAAAGGUGGAAAAAUAAAUAAUUGUGCCCCAUCUAUAAAAUUCUUCAUAGACUACCUUUGUUUUUCAGAAGUACUUCCACAGUACUGAUUAAUUGCUUGUCUCCCUGAGCCAUAAUGUCAUAAAAGUUCUUAGGGAGGUGUCAAAGGUAUUCUGCAUGAUACAGUAGUGUUCAGAAACUCCAUCCCGUUCCAUCUUCUAGACAGUACAGCAAUGCAGGCAUUUUCUCCUUGGGAGAUUUGGGCUUGUUCUGGAAGCACCCCAGUAUACCACACGUGUUCAAAAGCAUCUGCUAAAAUGUAGACUGACCGAAAUAUGGAAUAAACAUUUUGUUCAAUGGUGAAUAUGUUCUUAAGGCAGUGAUAAAGUUUCUUUCUUUGUCAAGGAUGGCCAUCAUGUGGCAUAUUCUCAGAAUGUAGCAUAGAUCAGAUUAUGACACCAUUUCACUUGCAGGUGCAAAAGAAGAUUGGUGGAAGGAAAUCUUCAGUUAAUCCUCAUCAUGUUCUAGUCUCAGGCAGGAUUCUGACUUAUCUGUCACUCUCUUCCUCUAUGCAUCAGUAGUCUUGUUAUUUGUCAGUUGUUCUCUGUCUGCCAUGUCAUCUUGAGGGGGUCUAGCUCUGUCAAAGAAGCCGCACUUCCAUAAAGCAAGGGUCAACACCGCUAGUACCAGUAGACCAAGCAUUAUUGCUAGUAUUAUAACCCACAAAGGGAUGACAAAGGAGACAUUUGGAGUGGACCAAAUGACUGAUGUUCUGAUUGCUAUGCUUCCCUCGGGGAGCUUCGCUGGCUGCACUUUAUAGGGCAUGUUCUUAACUUUGAAGGACACAUUGGAAGAAAGAGUAUAGGGAUCAUUUUUCCUCUGCAGGAAAGUUUCAGCCCAUAGCCGGGACCUGAUUUUCAGUGCUGCGCUCUUCCCUCUUUCCAGUUGUCCCACAUUGCAGGAAAUUAGGAUACA